GCAGAGGGCCGGAUGACCGCUUUGAUGGGGCAACUCAUCGGGGAGGAAAGUCCGGACUCCAUGAAGCAACGGUGCCGGGUAACGCCCGGGCGGGGAAACCCGACGGAAAGCGCCACAGAAAUCAGACCGCCAUACAUGUAUGGCAAGGGUGAAACGGUGAGGUAAGAGCUCACCGCGUCCCUGGCAACAGGGAUGGCACGGCAAGCCCCACCGGGAGCAAUGCCAAAUAGGACCCCCGCGCGGGCCGGUCGGCGUCAGCCGAUACCGCCGCUAGGCUGCUUCAGCCGAGAGGGAUCGGGUUGGCAGCUAAAGGUGCAUGGCAACAUGUACCGUAGAGGAAUGGUCAUCGAACCCCGGAUCACGGUCCGGGGGGAACAGAAUCCGGCUUACAGGCCCUCUGUGCAC
RNAcentral lists this RNase P RNA (405 nucleotides) under Paracoccaceae bacterium. RNAcentral's name for it is "Rhodobacteraceae bacterium (marine metagenome) RNase P RNA component class A". It matches the Rfam family "Bacterial RNase P class A". From Rfam's summary of the family: Ribonuclease P (RNase P) is a ubiquitous endoribonuclease, found in archaea, bacteria and eukarya as well as chloroplasts and mitochondria. Its best characterised activity is the generation of mature 5'-ends of tRNAs by cleaving the 5'-leader elements of precursor-tRNAs. Lineage: Bacteria; Pseudomonadati; Pseudomonadota; Alphaproteobacteria; Rhodobacterales; Paracoccaceae. The record is from RNAcentral.